AAACAUAGCCUUUAGCAAAACAAGUAUUAAAGGUAACGCCUGCCCAGUGAAAUUUUAACGGCCGCGGUAUCCUAACCGUGCAAAGGUAGCGUAAUCACUUGUCUUAUAAAUCAAGACCUGUAUGAAUGGCUAUAUGAGUAUUUAACUGUCUCCUUUAACCAAUCAGUGAAACUGAUCUUUCAGUACAAAAGCUGAAAUACUAACAUAAGACGAGAAGACCCCGUGGAGCUUUAAAUUUUUGACAAAGAACCACUAACAGUGCUUAUGAUAAAAAAUUUUUAGUUGGGGCGACUUUGGAGUAAAAUUCAACCUCCAAGAAAAGGCACCGCCUAACUUUAGGCCAACAAGCCAAACUACAUAGACCCAGUAUAAUGUACUGAUCAACGAACCAAGUUACCCCAGGGAUAACAGCGCCAUCUUCUUCAAGAGUUCAUAUCGACAAGAAGGUUUACGACCUCGAUGUUGGAUCAGGACACCCAAAUGGUGUAGCCGCUAUUAAAGGUUCGUUUGUUCAACGAUUAACAGUCCUACGUGAU
This 536-nucleotide ribosomal RNA is filed under the name Anolis lionotus. RNAcentral's name for it is "partial 16S ribosomal RNA". It matches the Rfam family "Bacterial large subunit ribosomal RNA", at positions 1811 to 2604 of the family's 2925-position model. The record is from RNAcentral. Lineage: Eukaryota; Metazoa; Chordata; Lepidosauria; Squamata; Anolidae.